Molecule: ribosomal RNA, 137 nt
Filed under: Petromyzon marinus (sea lamprey)
Lineage: Eukaryota; Metazoa; Chordata; Hyperoartia; Petromyzontiformes; Petromyzontidae
Source: RNAcentral
GCCUAUGGCCCAAUCACCCAGAAUGUGUCCGAUCUCGUCAGAUCUCAGAAGCUAAGCUGGUUUGAGCCUUGAUAGUGCCUGAAUAGAAUCUACAUAUAACUUAGGCGGCGAGGCGUAAAAACAGGUUGCCAUGAGCA